GUGAAGAAAACAGAGAGGCACCAGUGUUACUGAGGCCUCAGGAUGACAGGUGACACAGACAGAGGGACAAAAAUCCAACCAAAGCCGACGCUUUUCCUCACGGUCCUUUAGACUGUCUGCGGUUCUUCGUGAGUGAAGAUGGCCUACAGAUCACGCACACAUAAACAGUUCCACCAUAAUCAACACCAAACUUACGGGAAAGCCAGGAGCAAUCAGUUUCAUUUAACAGCUGGAGCAAAGAUGGCAGCGAUGAGGGAACCUGUCAGAGCCUGGGUAAGCAGGGUCAAGACUGAGACAGAAGUGCACUCAGGACUUCUGCCCAGGACACGUGCACAUUAUAAAGACAUGAAGUUAAAGAAAACCAAAUCCUUAAUGUUAAGAAUUAGAGAACCCCAGGAAGCUGUCAGCCAUGUGCUCACUUCACAUAUCGACAUGUGAUGUCUGUGAAAUGAAAAAUGUAUGCUGGAAAAUGUUUGCGUUGGUGCUGGACAGAUGGCCCAGUGGCUAAGAGCACUUGUGUUCUCACUGAAGACCUGUGUUUGGUUCCCAGCACCUCCUCACACCCACCUGUAAUUCCAGUUCCAGAUGCUCCAGCACUCGGCCUGAGGGCACCAGGCAUGCAUGUACAUGGUACACACACAUAUUUGCAAACAUACAUACAUACACAUAAAAUAAAAAAAUGUCUGUGAGCAGCAAAAUUCACUAAAAAUACACAAACUCCUUUUAAAAGUUAAAAUAUUACAAUGACAUAGGGACUGUGUAGUAAAUGCCAGGUAGUUCUUGAAUGAACAGAUUUCCUCCUAUGCAGACAUCUUAGAAAGAGCAGGGAAGCAAGGCUUUCCAAUACUAGGGCUGUUUAUAGUUGAUAACUUAACAAAGGGAUCAAAGAUCGCACGGAAGAACAACCAGAAGUGGUAGUCACUGACCUGCUGAUUCUUUUCCUUAAAUCACAAUCCUUUUAAAAAAUAUCAAAAGCUCAGUUCCCUAGUCACAGAAGAGGGGAGCCUGGGCCACCAGACUGUUAGCUAGUCUGCCAGCAGAGGGACACUGCGGCCCGGGACUGGCGUCAUCUUGUACCACAGUUGAACGAUGCUGCAUUCUCCCCACCGAAAAAGCUGAGAGGUCAGCAAAGGAACACUCGCUCAGACCUCCCAGUUAGCCCUUCCACACGCUUACUUUACAUGUGCACUGUACAUGGAACCCAGCACUCUGCCCUCUUCCCGAGUGUGUACCAACCUAACCCUGCAUGGAAAGUACUGCAACAUAUAUCCCUAUGGUAUGGAUCACCCACUGAGUGUAGUUUACGUCUUCUCCUAACCGGAUCCAGAGCAAUUCCAUAUGCUGCAACUCCUUUGCUGUAUGUGAUGUGGGUUCUCAACAGUCAGUGGGCACUGUCAGUGUCAAGUAUGUGCUAGGGGUCCCUGAGAUACAUCAUAGCUUAAAAAAAGUAGAGAAAACCACUCUUUCUCAUAUAUAUUUCCGUUUUUUAAAAUUCCUUUUAUUGGACAGAUGAAGAGAAUGUAGCUGAAAUGUGUCCUGCUUUCUCCACACAGGCCUGCUGCCCAGAGAGAGCUCCUGCCAGGGAGGGGUCCACCAUGGACCCUGACGCUGCCCACUCUGCAGGUCAGUUAUGCAGGUCGGCUCACCUGUGUGUCACGAGAACAACAGUCUAACAGUGACGAACGCACCAGGAGAUGAGUGUUCUCCUAAGCAAGGACUAAGGACCACUAAGCCUAAGGACCCAAAACAGAAGAUGCCAAACCCUCAGUAAAGCGAUCAAAAGGUGGCUUCAUCCCAGUGCAAGUGGUUAAACACCUCGCAGCAGGGAAACACCUCUACUCUAUCCUCAUAUGACUCGCAGCCAAGAAUAGCUUGAAUCCAGCUGAAGUGGGAGUCUUGAAAGCUUAUUGGAAUGCCUGCCCUUCUGCGACAUAGGGCAGGAAAACCCAGAGGAAUAGACCUGAGAACCACCAGGCACAAGGGCAAACGACCUGGGGUCGUGUGGGAAAGGUAGCUUUACUGCCUUUGUCACGGAUGUUGUAUUCGUAAACCUUUCAGUGUAAGAGAUGCUACAGGUGAAUCUGGUUCUAAGUGGAAAAGUUUAUUUUGACUCAUGGGUCCAUCAGUUUUCAGUCAUUCUUCCUUGAUCUGUUGAAGCACAGUGUGUAAAAUGGUGGGAACACAUCACAGAGGAACCAUGUCGUGAUGGCCAGCAAGGGAGGGAGAGACAGAGA
Molecule: small RNA, 2234 nt
Filed under: Rattus norvegicus (Norway rat)
Lineage: Eukaryota; Metazoa; Chordata; Mammalia; Rodentia; Muridae
Description: uncharacterized LOC108352584
Source: RNAcentral